Molecule: ribosomal RNA, 99 nt
Filed under: Clostridium botulinum
Lineage: Bacteria; Bacillati; Bacillota; Clostridia; Eubacteriales; Clostridiaceae
Description: partial 23S ribosomal RNA
Rfam family: Bacterial large subunit ribosomal RNA
Source: RNAcentral
UAAGACCCCUGAAAGACUAUCAGGUUGAUAGGUUGGAGGUGUAAGUACAGUAAUGUAUUCAGCUGACCAAUACUAAUAGGUCGAGGGCUUGAUCAAAUU